AUCUUAGCACUACACACAUAUUCUGCUGUACCGUUUGACACCUUGUAUCAUAUACACGUAAAACAAUGCUCGGAUGAGACGUUAAACAUAUGCCGUGUCCGGAAGCCUUCCCUGCACUGAAGCCCGAUAGGAUCUGCGGUCGUCAUAUAUAUAGCACACACCUUGUGACCCGGGGGUACGGCAACAUCAUACAAUACGUCACAAAUUCUAUCCGAUGAUCUAAAUGCUACAGCCUGGUUUUGUAGCUCCUCGUAAUUCAGCUGUUUUAGCAUGUGAAGCAUUAAGCAUGCCUGUUGUAAUGGAAACGACGUAGUGGCUCCCAGCUGUAGUACGUGCGGUCGAGUGAGCACGCACUGUGCGUAAAAUGGUCGUCUUUUCGGUAGUGGAGUUCGUAGCGAAAGGAGAAUCACGUGGCCUUAUUUAGGCUAAUUGGAAUCGUCGGCUGUCGAGAGCCUGUCCUAGCAAUGAGAAGCGAGCUGGGAUUUUGACAAGUUAUGAUCACUGUGUGAUUACAUUCUGUCACAGAACGUUGUAACCACGGACAUGUGGAACUAGAUUUACAGACGUCCGUCCGCCGGGCAUGGAAAACUAACGACACGGGACCACAGAGGCAAGAACCGUAGGCCCGCCGCCAGGGGGUGAGGCCGUGAGCUGAUAUAACUAAGGACACACCGUACAUCUUAAGAUGACAUUGACAUCUCUAAUUUGGAUUGUUGUCAUGGUGACUCUCGGCUCCCUCCCCACCUCCCGCUCGGUCACGCCUUGGAAUCCAUCGUUGCCAUGGAAACCAACCAUGUCUAAUUUCCCGCCAGAUUACCACAACCAUCCCUGCUCACGAGAGUGUGUGGAGGGCGCCCCCUCACUGGUGUGCGAGUACGACUUCAUCAUCGAGUACUACUACACCCUGACGCGGGCCUGCUACGGCUGCCCGUACAACCAGACAGACUGCACCCGCCCACAUUGCGUGCCCGCAGAUGGAAGGUCACGUGGUAUACUGACAGUUAACAGAAUGAUUCCAGGUCCGGGAAUACAUGUUUGUGUCGGAGAUGCGAUCAAAGUGAAUGUUAAGAACAAGUUAGAAGGAUCUGAGGGGACCACCAUUCAUUGGCACGGGGUACUUCAGCACGGAACUCCUUAUAUGGACGGCGUUGCCAUGCUGACGCAGUGCCCGAUCCAUGCGCACUCCACGUUCCAGUAUAAUUUCUUGGCAGAGCUUCCCGGCACUCACUACUGGCAUGCGCACGCUGGUCUACAGCGAGCAGACGGUCUGUUUGGAGCUCUUGUGAUUCGCCAGCCGAGAUCACGUGACGUACAUGGACUUGAGUAUGACUUUGACCUCCCCGACCACACGGUAUUGAUAAAUGAUUGGUUGUCGGAAAUGAGCGCCACCCGAUACGCCGGGCAUCACCAUGCCAUGACUGAACACUCUCCGGACUCCAUCCUCAUUAACGGGCACGGGUCCAAGCACGUGUUCAGCGAGUCACCAUCUCAUAGCGAACAUUCACAUGGACACGGGGGCCAUAUGGGGGCCAGCAAGGGGCAUGACGGCCAUGAGAUGCACCCGACUGGAUCAAUGACUCAUGGUCAACCGACUGCACAUAGCGAAAGUUCCAUCAUUUCCGGUCAUAACGGUAUGACGCAUAGCGACGGGUCACAUGACCAAAACUCUAAUCAUCUGUCACGUGGUCCUACUCCAACCAUGAUGCCCACUGAAUCGCCAAUGUCUCACGGUGACCAUCCAAGUAUGACAGCACAUGAUGCACAUGUGGACAUGGGCCAGCCAAUGGGAUCACAUGCAGCAACAACGCCAGAAGGCCAUUCAGAAAGUGCGCGUGAACAUUUGCAUACUGAUGGUAUAAGGUCAUCGGAUAGUACGACCGAAGGCCAUAACCACCACCGGUCAAGGAGGAGCAGUGAGAAACCGGGUUGUGGUAAUGAUACUGGACACCAGAAGGAUCAAGAGGUGCACACACCCAAUGCUGUCUUUCUUAUUACACCAGGGUUCCGUUCUCGUUUCCGUUUGAUUAGCAACGGAGUCAACAAUUGUCCCAUUCAUUUUUCUAUUGAUAACCAUACGUUGCUUGUGAUAAGUUCAGACGGAUCUCCAUUUAAACCUGUGAAAGUAGAGUCAUUAAACCUAUUUGCCGGUGAACGUUAUGAUGUGAUUAUUGAAGCCAUUAAUCCUGUGGGAAACUAUUGGAUUAGGACGCGGGGCCUGGCUGACUGCGGGCCGGAAAUGAAGUCCGCUUCUCAGACCGCCAUACUGCGGUAUUUAGGCGCACCAGACACACUCCCCUCUGGUUGUACCGACUAUGAAAGCGGAAAUCGGCGGGGCAUGAAGCUGAAUCCGUUUAACGAGGAGAUGAAUGGUGACGCGAUGAUCACGGUGGCCGAUCUGUUGUCCACUGAACCCAACGACAUCUCGCUGAAGCCGAUCCCGGAUAGACAGUUCUAUCUGGCAAUGGACUUCAACAUGGUGGAAAACUACCGCUUCCACGAUCCGGAAUACUACUCUCUGUCGUCCCAGAUGGGGGCAGUUGGUGGACACCAUGCCCAUCACCUUUUCACUCCCCAGAUCAACGGUAUCACAUACAUCAACCCUCCGUCGCCGCCUCUGUCUCAGUAUCAUCGUGCCUCGCAAUAUUUCUGUGACAAAAACGAUUUCCUUGUGGACUGCAAGACGCAGCUGUGUGAGUGCACUCACCGACUGAAGGUCAAGGUCGGCGAGGUCGUGGAGCUCGUUCUGAUUGAUGAGGGUAAACACCUGGACAACAGUCACCCCAUGCAUCUUCAUGGACAUAGCUUUAGGGUCGUAGCUAUGGAAAAGCUGAACACCUCCACAAGUGUUGAGUACGUGAAGAUGCGUGACCGGAUUGGGCUUAUCAGCAGGAACCUGGACAGGCCAAUCACCAAGGAUACCGUGAAUGUCCCGGAUGGAGGUUAUACCAUUGUCAGGUUCCACGCCAAAAACCCAGGAUUCUGGCUGCUUCAUUGCCACAUCGCCUUCCACAUGGCGAUGGGUAUGAGUGUCGUCAUCCAGGUGGGCGAGGUGGAGCAGAUGCCAGCGCCCCCUAGGAAUUUCCCACGCUGCGGGGACUGGACACCGGAAACCCAGCAGAUGGAGGAGUACCCUGAAUGUGGCCAGCAGUCCACAGCCUACCCUCUGGUCAUGGGAACUGACGUAGCGAAUUCCUACUAUGGCUCUUCCGUCCAGCCAUGAUUUGCAUCGUGAUCAUGGAGAUUCUAAGAGGUACUGGACGUCAACAUCACUAACCAUGGCCAUUCAUCACUAUAUCUCCAACUUCAACCCUCCGCAACCAAAUCUGAGCUCUCAGUCUAGUGUGAACGCUACAGCUAAGAACAUGCGAAUGCAGAUGUUCAACAUGUUCCUUACCGGCAGCAAUGGU
Molecule: unclassified non-coding RNA, 3407 nt
Filed under: Mizuhopecten yessoensis (Yesso scallop)
Lineage: Eukaryota; Metazoa; Mollusca; Bivalvia; Pectinida; Pectinidae
Description: laccase-7-like, transcript variant X1
Source: RNAcentral